This 72-nucleotide transfer RNA is filed under the name Datura stramonium (jimsonweed). Its description in RNAcentral is "tRNA-Gln". It matches the Rfam family "tRNA". Rfam says of the family: Transfer RNA (tRNA) molecules are approximately 80 nucleotides in length. Their secondary structure includes four short double-helical elements and three loops (D, anti-codon, and T loops). Further hydrogen bonds mediate the characteristic L-shaped molecular structure. tRNAs have two regions of fundamental functional importance: the anti-codon, which is responsible for specific mRNA codon recognition, and the 3' end, to which the tRNAs corresponding amino acid is attached (by aminoacyl-tRNA synthetases). tRNAs cope with the degeneracy of the genetic code in two manners: having more than one tRNA (with a specific anti-codon) for a particular amino acid; and 'wobble' base-pairing, i.e. permitting non-standard base-pairing at the 3rd anti-codon position. Lineage: Eukaryota; Viridiplantae; Streptophyta; Magnoliopsida; Solanales; Solanaceae. The record is from RNAcentral.
UGGGGCGUGGCCAAGUGGUAAGGCAACGGGUUUUGGUCCCGCUAUUCGGAGGUCUGAAUCCUUCCGUCCCAG